GGAGGAGUGCGGCGAAUUUGGUUAAGCCACAGGUUUGCUAAACCUGCGUCCUCACGGACUUGUGGGUUCAAGUCCCACCUCCUCCGCCA
This 89-nucleotide transfer RNA is filed under the name Candidatus Portnoybacteria bacterium CG03_land_8_20_14_0_80_41_10. Its description in RNAcentral is "tRNA-Ser". It matches the Rfam family "tRNA". Rfam says of the family: Transfer RNA (tRNA) molecules are approximately 80 nucleotides in length. Their secondary structure includes four short double-helical elements and three loops (D, anti-codon, and T loops). The record is from RNAcentral. Lineage: Bacteria; Candidatus Portnoyibacteriota.